RNAcentral lists this ribosomal RNA (201 nucleotides) under uncultured prokaryote. RNAcentral describes it as "partial 16S ribosomal RNA". It matches the Rfam family "Bacterial small subunit ribosomal RNA", at positions 524 to 724 of the family's 1533-position model. The record is from RNAcentral.
UACGUAGGGUGCGAGCGUUAAUCGGAAUUACUGGGCGUAAAGCGUGCGCAGGCGGUUUUGUAAGAUAGGGGUGAAAUCUCCGGGCUCAACUCGGAGCCUGCAGGAGAAACUGCCGUGCUUGAGUAUGGGAGAGGUGAGUGGAAUUCCUGGUGUAGCGGUGAAAUGCGUAGAUAUCAGGAGGAACACCUGUGGCGAAAGCGG